Molecule: long non-coding RNA, 2445 nt
Filed under: Gossypium barbadense (sea-island cotton)
Lineage: Eukaryota; Viridiplantae; Streptophyta; Magnoliopsida; Malvales; Malvaceae
Description: long non-coding RNA (GBAR_LNC004997)
Source: RNAcentral
UAACACACAAAAAUUAGUUAUCAAAAUUGGUUAAAUAUUCAGUUUUAAAUAUGUGGUUGAAUUGAGUUAUAUCAUAUUUUAAUAAAUUUUAAUUUAAAAUUUAUUUUACAUUCUAUUCUCAAGAAUUGUGAUUAUUCCUAUUAAUAAUAUUGUCUUUGUAAUGGGCCAAUUUAGCCCAGGCCCAAAACAAAAAACACAUUAAAUAAAGUCCAAAAUUUUAAACAGUCCAUGGCCCAAUUACAAUACUCUAAUGACCCAUCAACAAAAAUGAACCCAAGCCUAAGACCCAAAACAUAAAAGCCCAAUCCUAUGGCCCAACAUUUAGACACCCUCAGAAACCCUAGGUUACCCUAGGUGCGCCGCAAUCCAGCCUCCGUACGGCCGCCAGCUCGCCUCGUACGCACUGCUCCACGUCGCCAGCCGUACCUGCAAGUAAAAUAAAAGGACUAUGGCAGCAAUAAUAGAAAAAUAGCAGAGCAAAAAAGAAAAAGCUUGUAUUAUUUUUUUUCUCUCUUAGCUAUAAAGCCCAAGAGAAAUCGUUUUGUAACUUCUUCUACGAAUACAAGAAAAUAGAAAAAAUCACAGGCAAAUCUCAAUCCAAAAAACAGAAUAGGUAUUCUGGUUUUGUAUCCUAUUUAUUUCAAGUAUCGUAUAUGUAGAUAGGGAUAGAAAUACAACUUGUUUCCUUUUUUUUUUUUUUGCGACGAAGAGGCUUCUUUGAGCUCUUGUAGCUUUAGUGGGCGUUUUUUAAGCGAUUGGGCCCCAGAUCUGGGUCUGGGAAGACAAAAUGACCUUAAAGGGCCCAUUUUAUAAUUUGACCGCCGUAUACGGCGGUCGCCGAUGGACGGAUGGACUAUAGUUCGGCGGCCGAAAAUCGUCUAGGCCAGUGGAACCCCUCCCUUUUACUCUUUUUUUUAGGCAUUAAUGAAAUGAUUUUUUUAAACAAUUUUUUUUGGUUUUAUAAACCUGUGCAACGACGUUGUUUGGGGUCAAGUCCAGUAACCCCAAAACGGCAUCGUUUAGCCCUAGCCCGUGCAUAACUCGACCCGUAUAGGCCAAGAUCCGAGUGUUUUUGCUCUAAUGGGUUAUUUGCGGAUUCGGUCCCUCCGCUUUUGUGGUCCGUAGCAAUUCGGCCCUGUUUCCUUUUUCUUUUCUUUUAAUUUUUGCCUUGUAAUUUUUGUAGUAUUCAAUUUUGAUCCUUAUUGAAGUUAUGCGUUUUAGGGGACGGGAUAUUGCCCCAUUUGGUCCCCCAUCUCAUUCGUGUAUCACAAUUUGGGCCCAAUAUUUUAUUUUCAUUCCAUUUUGUUUUCUUUUAAUUCCAUUUUGAUUUCAAUUCAAUCCCGACUUAAUUGAUUUCAUCAUUUGUGUAUUCUUGCUUAUCUGUUCCCUUUUUAAUACUAAAACUUUUAUUUAUAUGUAAUAUCUAUCUAUCUGUUUAGUCAUUAUUUGUUUUCAUGAUUAGGUUCUAUUUAUCAAUUUAUUCAUUAUUUUAUAACUCAUUAUUUUAAAAAUAAUUAAUAUUAUUUAUGUAAUGUACCUACCUAUUUAUUUCAUUUAUUAUUUAUCCCUUAUUUUUAAAUACUUUGGAUUAAUCUAUUUCCUUUUAUUAUGUACUUCAUAUUCCCUUUCACUUACUUUUAUUAUUGUUAUCAGUUAUUUCAUACAUCAUUGAUUGCUAAUAUUGAUAUUAAAUCAUGUGAUUAUUGUAAUUACAUCUUAUGAACUAUUGUUAAUGUACAAGCCCAAUCUUACCCGGCCCACUAAACCUAAAACAACCCUACCCUAGCCCAAACCACCAGCAGAAAAAAAAUAAGGAAGCAGCAAACCCUAGGUGCCUUCACUUGCAUCGCCUCUCCUCCACCUGCUCCCAUCACCUCCUUGAAGACCUGCAAACAUGACGGAAGUAGCAACAGAAGCAAAAAUGCAGCAAACAGUAACAAAACAGCAAUAGGACUUUGCAUAAUCGGCUAUAAAGAGCCAUUCAUUUUCAAUGUAAAAGGGGGGAUUGUAUUUCGAAAAGAAAAAAAAAAGAAAGAAAAAAAAAACAGAGAGCAUCCAAUACAAAAAAUCAAUCAAAAAACCAAAACUUUAAAGGUGAUUCCUCUUUUGUUUCAUUUUUUAUUUAAAAUCUCUGUUGCUUUUAUCUUUUUUUAUAUAUUUUUUAAUAAAAAAAUAAUAAUAAAACAAAAAGAGUAGAAAAAGGAGGGUACUCACCUUCGUUGGCCUCCUCGGCGUCGGAAGAAAUCCAUUCGCGCAACGCCGGCCACUGGCCCACAACGGCCGCGCAAUGGACACCGGGAAAACCUAUCGCCGGACAUAGGGAGUGAAGGGAGAGCAAAGAGAACUCUCUAUCUCCCUUUUUUUUGUUUUUCUAAAUAAUGCUGAAACAAUAAUAAUAAUAAAAAAACAAAUUUGGCUUAAAUAAGCCAAGCAAAAUGACGGGGG